GUUCAAACAAGGAAGGGCUUACGGUGGAUACCUAGGCACCCAGAGACGAGGAAGGGCGUGGUAAGCGACAAAAUGCUUCGGGGAGUUGAAAAUGAGCAUAGAUCUGGAGAUUCCCGAAUAGGUUAACCUUUUUAACUGCUGCUGAAUCCAUGGGCAAGCAAGAGACAACCUGGUGAACUAAAACAUCUUAGUAGCCAGAGGAAUAGAAAGCAAAAGCGAUUCCCAUAGUAGCGAGAAGCGAAAUGGGAGCAGCCUAAAUCGUGAAAAUGGGGUUGUGGGAGAGCACAAUAUAAGCUUUGUGCUGCUAGGCGAAGCGGUUGAGUCCUACACCCUAGAUGGUGAGAGUCCAGUAGCCAAAAG
Molecule: non-coding RNA, 360 nt
Organism: Picea glauca (white spruce)
Lineage: Eukaryota; Viridiplantae; Streptophyta; Pinopsida; Pinales; Pinaceae
Source: Rfam